CCUACGGGUGGCAGCAGUGAGGAAUAUUGGUCAAUGGGCGCGAGCCUGAACCAGCCAAGUCGCGUGAAGGAUGAAUGCCCUACGGGUUGUACACUUCUUUUAUCAAGGAAUAAAGUGAGGCACGUGUGCCCUUUUGUAUGUACUUUAUGAAUAAGGAUCGGCUAACUCCGUGCCAGCAGCCGCGGUAAUACGGAGGAUCCGAGCGUUAUCCGGAUUUAUUGGGUUUAAAGGGAGCGUAGAUGGGUUGUUAAGUCAGUUGUGAAAGGUUGCGGCUCAACCGUAAAAUUGCAAUUGAUACUGGCAGUCUUGAGUACAGUUGAGGUAUGCGGAAUUCGUGGUGUAGCGGUGAAAUGCUUAGAUAUCACGAAGAACUCCGAUUGCGAAGGCAGCUUACUAAACUGCCACUGACAUUGAUGCUCGAAAGUGUGGGUAUCAAACAGGAUUAGAUACCCGUGUAGUC
Molecule: ribosomal RNA, 460 nt
Filed under: uncultured bacterium
Lineage: Bacteria
Description: partial 16S ribosomal RNA
Rfam family: Bacterial small subunit ribosomal RNA
Source: RNAcentral